Molecule: ribosomal RNA, 253 nt
Filed under: uncultured bacterium
Lineage: Bacteria
Description: partial 16S ribosomal RNA
Rfam family: Bacterial small subunit ribosomal RNA
Source: RNAcentral
UACAGAGGGUGCAAGCGUUGUUCGGAAUUAUUGGGCGUAAAGGGUGCGUAGGUGGGCAGGUAAGUCAGUGGUGAAAUCUCCGGGCUUAACUCGGAAACUGCCAUUGAUACUAUCUGUCUUGAAUACCGUGGAGGUUAGCGGAAUAUGUCAUGUAGCGGUGAAAUGCUUAGAUAUGACAUAGAACACCAAUUGCGAAGGCAGCUGGCUACACGAAUAUUGACACUGAUGCACGAAAGCGUGGGGAUCAAACAGG